Orbicella faveolata is the source of this 823-nucleotide long non-coding RNA. The record is from RefSeq and is a predicted model, not a curated record. Lineage: Eukaryota; Metazoa; Cnidaria; Anthozoa; Scleractinia; Merulinidae.
GAAAACAACAUGGCGGAAAGUCAGAUGUGAGAUCAAGGAAAAACAACAACAAGUUUGGAGAUAUGGCGCUUGAUGGAGAAGAGAGUACCCCGGUACCAAACCUGGCGCUGGAAACUAUUGUGAAGCCAGCUAUUCGUGAGAUGGAGCCUUUUUUCGAUAAACAAGCUGUUGAAAGUCUUAGAGCUGCUUUUGUCAAGGCUGAAAAAGAGAUCCCAGGACUCACACAACAAAUUGUUGGAGAAAUUUUAAAAUCAGGUACAUGAGUGUUUUACUGGAAAAUAUUCUACAUUCAGGACCCAAACAUUAAAACUUCUUCUGGGAAACUAUAUCUAUGAUCCCAGUGAGGAUAUUUAUUAAUGAUGGCUUCAUUUCCCACGUUUUCAUACAUGUCCUGCCAGGGCAUGAUCCUGGAGUGGAGUGCACCAACCAUGAGGCCAUCGCGCCUCCCCUUUACUGCAUUAAGUCAGCUGCUUAUUAUUUAACAAAUUUUGACCAUAUCCAUAUGUGGUAAGGACAUCCUCACCAUCUGUCAUACCUAUUAAAUAAAUAUCCUGCAAUAUAAUAUGUUGUUUUCCAUGUAUUUAGGAAGUUUUGAAAGACUUGCCAACAUCUUUCUGUACAAUUACCCUUAUCCUAGCUGUCAAUUUGUUGACAAUUAUUCUGCUCUAGUAUGAGACAUUACCUUACUUUAGUCCAUGCGAGCUACAGACCCAUCAGCUUACAUGCAGUGCCAGGUGAUAUUCUGCAUGAUUGUGCUGGGUAAUUGAAGGGGUGAGUGCAAAACCAUGCUAAGUGACGAUUUGGGUGAAAAAAAAAAUUUUCA